GGUGGUGGCGGGGCUGAGGGUGGCCUCCCGCCAUCGCCUGCCUUUCCCGCUUGGUUCCAGGAGCCACUGGUGUUUGCGGAGCAGCCCUCGGUGAAGCUGUGCUGUCAGCUCUGCUGCAGCGUCUUCAAAGACCCCGUGAUCACCACGUGUGGGGUGAGCCCGCCGCCCUUCCCAGCCCCCCUGCUGCCAGAGGCCCCCACAGGACCCCAGGGCUCUCGGGGGCCGGGGCUGUGGCGCCCUGGCCUUGGUCAAGGCCUGUCCUGGCUGCACUGGGCUUGGGGUACAGCGAGGCCUGUGGCUGCCAUGGCCAUGGACUAGGGAAAAAGAGGA
This 330-nucleotide long non-coding RNA is filed under the name Homo sapiens (human). RNAcentral describes it as "long non-coding RNA NONHSAT172549". The record is from RNAcentral. Lineage: Eukaryota; Metazoa; Chordata; Mammalia; Primates; Hominidae.